Molecule: ribosomal RNA, 253 nt
Filed under: uncultured bacterium
Lineage: Bacteria
Description: partial 16S ribosomal RNA
Rfam family: Bacterial small subunit ribosomal RNA
Source: RNAcentral
UACGGAGGGAGCUAGCGUUGUUCGGAAUUACUGGGCGUAAAGCGCGCGUAGGCGGCUUUGUAAGUUAGAGGUGAAAGCCCGGAGCUCAACUCCGGAACUGCCUUUAAAACUGCAUCGCUUGAAUCCAGGAGAGGUGAGUGGAAUUCCGAGUGUAGAGGUGAAAUGCGUAGAGAUGCGGAAGAACACCAGUGGCGAAGGCGGCUCACUGGACUGGUAUUGACGCUGAGGUGCGAAAGCGUGGGGAGCAAACAGG